Molecule: transfer RNA, 74 nt
Filed under: Alphaproteobacteria bacterium
Lineage: Bacteria; Pseudomonadati; Pseudomonadota; Alphaproteobacteria
Also listed under: 3 other names
Description: tRNA-Gly
Rfam family: tRNA
About the family: Transfer RNA (tRNA) molecules are approximately 80 nucleotides in length.
Source: RNAcentral
GCGGGUGUAGCUUAAUGGUAGAGCUUCUGGUUUCCAACCAGAUGACGAGGGUUCGAUUCCCUUCACCCGCUCCA